This 540-nucleotide ribosomal RNA is filed under the name Lipkemenes lanipes. Its description in RNAcentral is "partial large subunit ribosomal RNA". It matches the Rfam family "Bacterial large subunit ribosomal RNA", at positions 1829 to 2625 of the family's 2925-position model. Lineage: Eukaryota; Metazoa; Arthropoda; Malacostraca; Decapoda; Palaemonidae. The record is from RNAcentral.
GUCUGUUAGUAUAUUAAUUGAAAGUCUAGCCUGCCCACUGAAAGGUUUAAAGGGCCGCGGUAAUCUGACUGUGCAAAGGUAGCAUAAUCAUUAGCUUUUUAAUUGAAAGCUGGAAUGAACGACUAGAUGAGAAAUAAGCUGUCUUUUUUUAUUUUAUAGAAAUUAACUUUUAAGUGAAAAGGCUUAAAUUUUUCGGGGGGACGAUAAGACCCUAUAAAACUUUGAUAUUUUUUUUAUUUAAAAUUUGGAUUUAAGGUUUAAUCUGUUUAUUGGAUUUAAUAUUUUGUUGGGGAGACACAGAUAUAACAUCUAACUGUCUGUUUAAAUAUUAUAAUUAUUCUUAUUUUAUGAUCCUUUACUAGGGAUUAAAAGGUUAAGUUACUUUAGGGAUAACAGCGUAAUUCUUUUUGAGAGUUCUUAUCGACAAAAGCAGUUGCGACCUCGAUGUUGAAUUAAGGUUUCAUAGGGGUGUAGCCGCUCUUCUAGUAGGUCUGUUCGACCUUUAAAACUUUACAUGAUUUGAGUUCAAACCGGUGUGAG